Molecule: long non-coding RNA, 481 nt
Organism: Syngnathoides biaculeatus (alligator pipefish)
Lineage: Eukaryota; Metazoa; Chordata; Actinopteri; Syngnathiformes; Syngnathidae
Exons: 3
Source: RefSeq, a predicted model, not a curated record
UAUGAGAGGACGCGGUUAAAUCAGGUUGGAAUCAAAGUGGAGGUUAGCCGUUUGGACUAGCUGCAUGAGUCAGAUAGGAUAAAGUGGAUUCAAUGAGUCAAUUCACGUGUAGCUACACCUAUGAUACUUCCAUGAUUUGCAGUGAGGAAAAUAGUAAAAUUACAGGGGAUGCGGUGCGAGUAUCCUUGUCGGCGAAUAUUGACCGUCUCCAGGAUGCCCGUGUAGCGCAGCUGCACCAUCACUCUCUCCUUGCUGAAGCACAGCGCCCGCCUGUCGUCGUUGGGCUUGAUGCAGCGCACAAAGUGCGGUUGACCUACCACCAUCUUUGACAGCAAGUCCAUCAGCGAGAAAAAGGAACCUACACGGAAAUAGGAGGCCACGGUCUGUCUCCUCAUGUUGGUGGUUUCGUCUGGGUGACGCAUCAUCUCCAUGGUGUCAACCUGAACACAAACCUUCACAGUGAGCACUGCGCAUUGACGAG